This 466-nucleotide ribosomal RNA is filed under the name uncultured bacterium. RNAcentral describes it as "SSU rRNA". It matches the Rfam family "Bacterial small subunit ribosomal RNA", at positions 26 to 518 of the family's 1533-position model. The record is from RNAcentral.
AGGACGAACGCUGGCGGCGUGCUUAACACAUGCAAGUCGAACGAGGUGCUUGCACCUAGUGGCGAACGGGUGAGUAACACGUGAGCAACCUGCCCUUGGCUCUGGGAUAGCCUCCGGAAACGGGGAUUAAUACCGGACAUGACCUUCUUCCGCAUGGUGGAGGGUGGAAAGUUUUUCGGCCAGGGAGGGGCUCGCGGCCUAUCAGCUUGUUGGAGGGGUAACGGCCCACCAAGGCGACGACGGGUAGCCGGCCUGAGAGGGCGACCGGCCACACUGGGACUGAGACACGGCCCAGACUCCUACGGGAGGCAGCAGUGGGGAAUAUUGCACAAUGGGGGAAACCCUGAUGCAGCGACGCCGCGUGUGGGAUGAAGGCCUUCGGGUUGUAAACCGCUUUCACCAGGGACGAAGCGAGAGUGACGGUACCUGGGGAAGAAGCGCCGGCUAACUACGCGCCAGCAGCCGC